This is a small nucleolar RNA of Nannospalax galili (Upper Galilee mountains blind mole rat), 145 nucleotides long. RefSeq annotates it as small nucleolar RNA SNORA48. The transcript has a single exon. NCBI's taxonomy places the organism in Eukaryota, Metazoa, Chordata, Mammalia, Rodentia, Spalacidae. The record is from RefSeq and is a predicted model, not a curated record.
UACCCCUGGCAAUGUGCAAAGAGACACGUCUUUGGUGGUGGUGUUCUUAAAUUAGUCAGGGGCAGAGCAGAUGGUAGUCCUUUGUUCAUCCUACCUCUGAUGCUUGGCUCAGUGGCCAAAGCUGUUUCAUGCCUAGGGCACAAUC